AUGAAACACUACUGUGUUUGUGGACUGAGUUCUAUUUGUAUGAAAAAUCUGAUGUUGCAUGCUCCUCCGCUCCCUAACAUGGAAUGGAUUAUUCUGGAGAAAAUGAAUGAAAAUGUUGGAUGGAGGGGAUUUGAAGCAGAUGCAUGCUUUUUCUUGCUCACAGAUCUAAAGGUCCUUCAAAACUAAAAUUGUUUUCAACCAAAAGAAUUCAUGGCAGAAUUGA
This 223-nucleotide long non-coding RNA is filed under the name Phasianus colchicus (ring-necked pheasant). Its description in RNAcentral is "lncRNA (ENSPCLG00000003797.1)". The record is from RNAcentral. Lineage: Eukaryota; Metazoa; Chordata; Aves; Galliformes; Phasianidae.